GGAUGUUCUGAAGACCUGCUCGCUAGGCCACGCACGGAGGACGCCCGUUCCUCAUGGGCCCCGCGCCCGCCUAGGGGAAAGUCCCCGGACCGCCGGCAGAGAGUGCCGGGCGCUACCGCGCCCCCGCCCGCCGCCGCCGCCUCACGCUAUUCUCCGCCGAGACGCCCGCGGGCCGAGCGGGUGAGCGCGGGGCGGGCUCUCGUCACGGCCACAGACACGCAGGUAGCGCGCCAGGCGCGCCAACAGAACGGGGCUCACUCUCAGGCCAUC
Corvus moneduloides (New Caledonian crow) is the source of this 270-nucleotide ribozyme. It matches the Rfam family "RNase MRP". From Rfam's summary of the family: RNase MRP is an enzymatically active ribonucleoprotein with two distinct roles in eukaryotes. In mitochondria it plays a direct role in the initiation of mitochondrial DNA replication. Lineage: Eukaryota; Metazoa; Chordata; Aves; Passeriformes; Corvidae. The record is from Ensembl.